Long non-coding RNA from Strongylocentrotus purpuratus (purple sea urchin), 654 nucleotides. RefSeq lists it as uncharacterized. The record is from RefSeq and is a predicted model, not a curated record. NCBI's taxonomy places the organism in Eukaryota, Metazoa, Echinodermata, Echinoidea, Camarodonta, Strongylocentrotidae. The transcript has 3 exons.
CAUUUUGUCUUAACUUUAUUCAUUUUCUCAUUUAUUUGUAGGCAUCCUUUUUUAACAUCUUUCGUCAAAGAAGUGGAUUCAAAGCACAUUGUGGCCUCAGUAUAUUGAUGUUAAACCAUGCAGAAAAUGCUACUUUUUCUCAACCUUGUGGAUGUUCCCUACUUCCCUAAGGAUCAGCAGCCUCUUGAAACAGUUGAAGCCAUUAUCGAAUUCCUUGCGUCUAUUUUCCUUGGAUCUGAAAACAGUGCAUAAUGCAGGACAUUCCACCCAAAAGCUAACCCACAAGUCCAAGCUGAAGUGGAAUAUUUCGCAAAAUUUGAUCUACACUCACCCGAUAGCUUUACUGCUAGAGAAAGGUGGUCAUAUAGAUGUCAUUUAGAGGACAAAAAAGACGUAAAGAUCAUGUAAGGAUAAAAGGUACAUCGAAAUGACCAGUAAGACGUAAAUAUCACGUCAAAAUUUGAUGUCCAUACAACGUAUACACGACGUCUGUAGGACGUCUUUCUUGGGUAAAAGUUGACGUCUUAAAGUCAUCUUUCUUGGACCAAUAAGACCAGAAAGAAAUAUGACGUCCAUACGACGUCUUCCAUGGUACAAGUUGGCGUCUUAAAGAUGUCUUUCUUUGACUAAUAAGACGUUAAAAUCAUGACAAAA